This 230-nucleotide long non-coding RNA is filed under the name Erythranthe guttata (spotted monkey flower). RNAcentral's name for it is "long non-coding RNA (EGUT_LNC003433)". Lineage: Eukaryota; Viridiplantae; Streptophyta; Magnoliopsida; Lamiales; Phrymaceae. The record is from RNAcentral.
UUCAACACGACAUAAAUCUAAAAAAUCAAUCCAUUGCAAAACAAAAGCGAAUAAGCAUCCAUUGCCACUCCCUUCCAUUAUGCAUACCUUCUAUGUGUUAUACAUCUAAUCCAAGGUAUUAGACAUAAAACUAAAUUAGGGACAUUCAUCACAAAUAGUUGAUUAUGGGAUCAAAUAGUUGAUUCUGUGAUCAAUACUUCUCAGUCCAAAAUAAUCCAAAUGUAUAUGAG